Molecule: ribosomal RNA, 253 nt
Filed under: uncultured bacterium
Lineage: Bacteria
Description: partial 16S ribosomal RNA
Rfam family: Bacterial small subunit ribosomal RNA
Source: RNAcentral
UACAGAGGUCCCAAGCGUUGUUCGGAUUCACUGGGCGUAAAGGGUGCGUAGGUGGUGAGGUAAGUCUGAUGUGAAAUCUCCGAGCUUAACUCGGAAAUGGCAUUGGAAACUACCUUGCUGGAGGGUCGGAGGGGGGACUGGAAUUCUCGGUGUAGCAGUGAAAUGCGUAGAUAUCGAGAGGAACACCAGUGGCGAAGGCGAGUCCCUGGACGACUCCUGACACUGAGGCACGAAAGCUAGGGGAGCAAACAGG